AGAGUUUGAUCCUGGCUCAGGACGAACGCUGGCGGUGUGCUUCACACAUGCAAGUCGAGCGAAUGAAGAAGGUAGCUUGCUACUUUUGGAUUUAGCGGCGGACGGGUGAGUAAUAUAUAGGAAUCUGCCCUAGAGCGGGGAACAACAGACCGAAAGGUUUGCUAAUGCCCCAUAGGUACGCAGUCUUCGGAUUGUUUAUUAAAGGAGUAAUCCACUCUAAGAUGAGCCUGUAUCCGAUUAGCUAGUUGGCGGGGUAAAGGCCCACCAAGGCUACGAUCGGUAGUUGGUCUGAGAGGAUGAUCAGCCACAAUGGGACUGAGACACGGCCCAUACUCCUACGGGAGGCAGCAGUGGGGAAUUUUACACAAUGGGGGAAACCCUGAUGUAGCGACACCGCGUGAACGAAGAAGCCUUUUGGGGUGUAAAGUUCUGUCGGCUGGAACGAAAAAAAUGACGGUACCAGCAAAGGAAGCAUCGGCUAACUACGUGCCAGCAGCCGCGGUAAGACGUAGGAUGCAAGCGUUGUCCGGAUUUAUUGGGCGUAAAGAGUUCGUAGGCGGUUAUUUAAGUCUGGUGUUAAAUACUGUGGCCCAACCACAGAACUGCAUUGGAUACUGGAUGACUUGAGUGCGGUAGAGGCGAGUGGAAUUCCCAGUGUAGCGGUGAAAUGCGUAGA
RNAcentral lists this ribosomal RNA (676 nucleotides) under uncultured bacterium. Its description in RNAcentral is "bacterial SSU rRNA". It matches the Rfam family "Bacterial small subunit ribosomal RNA", at positions 8 to 694 of the family's 1533-position model. The record is from RNAcentral.